Molecule: ribosomal RNA, 810 nt
Filed under: uncultured bacterium
Lineage: Bacteria
Description: bacterial SSU rRNA
Rfam family: Bacterial small subunit ribosomal RNA
Source: RNAcentral
GCACGGCUGAGGAACACGUGACUAACCUACCCCGGUGUGGGGGAUAACGGGUCGAAAGACUCGCUAAUCCCGCAUACGAUCCGCCUCGGCGGAGGAAAGCCGUAAGGCGCACUGGGCGGGGGUCGCGUCCCAUUAGAUAGUUGGUGUGGUAAUGGCGCACCAAGUCGAUGAUGGGUCUCUGGUCUGAGAGGACGACCAGACAGAUUGGGACUGAGACACGGCCCAAACUCCUACGGGGGGCAGCAGCAAGGAAUUUUCGGCAAUGGGCGCAAGCCUGACCGAGCAACGCCGCGUGGAGGAUGACGGCUCUUGGGUUGUAAACACCUUUUGGGGGGGACGAUAAUGACGGUACCCUCCGAAUCAGGCCCGGCUAACUACGUGCCAGCAGCCGCGGUAAUACGUAGGGGCCAAGCGUUGUCCGGAAUUACUGGGCGUAAAGCGUGGGUAGGUGGUCGGUGAUGUGCCGCGUGAAAGCGCCGGAGUAAUGCCGGCGAGGUCGCGGUAGACACACGGACUCGAGGCUCGCAGAGGAACGUGGAAUUCCCGGUGUAGUGGUGAAAUGCGUAGAUAUCGGGAGGAACACCAGUGGCGCAAGCGGCGUUCUGGGCGAGACCUGACACUGAGCCACGACGGCGUGGGGAGCAAACAGGAUUAGAUACCCUGGUAGUCCACGCAGUAAACGAUGCAUACCAGGUGUGGGAUGGCGUUCGCGUCGUUCCGUGCCGCAGCUUACGCGAUGAGUAUGCCGCCUGGGGACUACGAGCGCAAGCUUAAAACUCAAAGGAAUUGACGGGGGCCCGCACAAGCAGC